GAUCUGGAGAUGAAAACCGGUCAGGGUGGGAGAAAUUGCUACAGCCAGUUCUUUCACUCGGUGUUGUUUCGUGUGCCUCUUUUUCAAAUAUGCUGGAAAGGGGGCUCAGUUUCUCCCAGAUGUUUGAAAUAGUUCUCACAGAAUGUCUUAUUUAGGGAGAAGCAGUAAGUGUCCUUCGAAGGGUGAACUCCAGUCCCAUCAGGCCUCCAGAGGUGUGGCAGGAAUGGAAGCUGACAAAAUCUGGAAGGUCGUAGAUUGUCCUGAAACAGUACAGCUAAUCUUUGACUGUAAUUCAUCCUGCAAUUUUGGUUGUUAAGUCAUGAUGGUCACAAGGAACAAGCUUGCUGAAUCCACUGGCAGUUACUUCUGAGCGAACAACCAGAGUGUUGUGUUCUUUGUCUUCUUUACUUUAUUCUUAAGAAGAUCUGGUGUCAUGGUUAAAAUUCAGCUUCCAUAAUCCCCAGCCAAAGGACAUCGGCCUGCAUCUCUCUAUGGAACACUUUAAGGAUUUUUAGUAAGCCUUUUCAUUUUAAAGCACGAACAAUAAUAGUUUUAGAUAAAUGUGACAUUGCACAGCAUUUCUUUUGAAAUCAUUAAGUAGGAGAGAAUUUGUAUCUUAUAAUAAUGUGCAUUGAUGACGUUCAUAAACUAUAGGAGAAAAGGUGUCACUUGACUGAACUGCAAGCUUCUUUUAGUAUUCUGUUAUCAUAAGGACUAGAAGGGAGAAGGAACUAAACGCGCUCUGGAUAGAUAUUUCUAAAAAGUUCAGUCAGCCAAGGAUAAAAUUAAUAAGAGAAAAAGUGAGGAGGAGGAAUGGAAAUACUGGAAAAAAGGAGAGAGAAACUACAAGACGGACAGAGCAAACUUAUAAAUAAAAGGAAAGCUUGGUGAAGGAAAAGAUGUCUUGUCAGAAGAAAAACAUUUCUCUUUUCUUUUUAUAAAAGGAAGCUGAACUUAUUAAAACAAAAACUCCAUCCCCAUAUAUUUUCUGGAAGCUGACUCCAAAACGCUUGCUCAGCACAGCCACUGUCUGCCAUGCACUGAUCACAAGUUUUCUGCUGGAGGCAAGGCUGAGGAGCCAGCCUUGAAGAAAAGGGGGAAAGGGGAAGCUGUUGUGUGGCCAUUAGCAUUUCUUCUCUUGGUGGAACUGGUGCCACACAAGGAAGACAACAUCACAGAAUGCUUGACUUUGAUUAAGCCAGAACUGCCAUGGAAGCAGCUGUUGGGGGUAUCUUUUAUAGUUUUUGCUGGGACAAGAACAUUCCUGGUGAGGAUGACUGCAUAUGCAGCAUUGAAUUAAAGGAUCGGAGAGCCUGGACACACCACAUCGCUCCAUCCCACGCAUUAGAUCAGCCUUGAAAAUAAGACUCCAAAAAGUCCUGGCUUGGAAAACUAAUGCCAGUCUAUGGUAGAUGAGAAAUGGAAAGUUCUUCGACUUCUCCUUCAUCCACCACUUUUCAAUACUUCCUUCCUUUCUGCCUGUUGGGCAGUUUUAGUUUUUUAAUAUUGAAUGCAGAGGAAGGACCUCCCACAACAAUUGGCAUACUCACUCGCAUGCCAUUCUUAGUACAUACACUGACCAGGCAAACAUUUCACUGGGCUAUAUAUUGAAAGCAGUGUUUCAUUUAGAACUAAGUAGACCUAGGAUUCAGCACAGUUUAGAAAUCACACUGUCUCACUGGGACUUUCUUUCUUUGUAGUACCAUGUACUUGUGGUGCUAUUGUAGUUGCUCUUUCACUAAUAAAGUCAAUCUGCACACAAUGCUCUUUAUUGUACUAUAGGUAAGAAGCAAUACCUUCUCUUUUUUAUACACAGUAAGCCAGCUGGUAGCUCUGCAGGGGAUCAUACAGAAGCAGACAUGGCUCCCCUCAGUGUUAACAACAUAACAGAUAGAAUUUUUACUAUGUCUAUAGGUGUAGCAACGGGGCAAUUCAGUUGUUGAAUUUCUAUUCAUCACAAAUUUGAAGCACAGAAACAGUCUAGUGAAUUCCAGUCAGUAUUUAGAAAUGAAAACAUGGGUGCCCUCUUAGACCAAUCCUGUUUUCGUAUUUUGCAUGCUAAAACUUGUUUAGCUCCAGUCAACAAAAAUUAAUUAAACAAGUUCCUGUGCCUAAUAUAAGUAACAUAAUAUUAUAAUUUUGCCAUGGGGUGCUUUACUGUAUGCUCUGUUGAAAUCAAGAUAUAUUUAUUGACACAGCAUUACAACAAUAUACUAAGGAAAUUUCCAUAUAAAAAUGUAGAUGAAGUUAAUCUGGCAUUGUUCUUGACACAUUUACUGACUUCAAGUAGUAACUAUUUUCAGAUUGAUUGAUUAUUUUUUCAUCUGCUCAGAAACCUCGCAGAUAGCAGUGUCAGAAAUACCUGUUCUAUAGUUACCAGAUUCUCCUUUUUCUCCUUUUUGAAGAUAAAGGACAAUAUUUGUUCUCCUUCAAAUAUCUGGUAACAUCACGUUUUCUCUACAAUUUCUAAAAAAUAAUGCAUAGAGGCUUACCCAGACACCAAGAAAUAAUGGUUUCAGUUUUUGGAUGCAGUUCAUUUGGUUCAGAAGAUUUCAGAUUAGGAAUAAAUAGGUUUUCUUUGGGGACUUAUUUUCUGUCCAUCUCAAAUUACAUUUUCCCAAUCUGAUAUUAAAUAAGUAAAUGGAACACUUACUUUCUUGGUGAUUUUGUUUUGCUAGUUUUUGUUUUGUUCUACCAGGCUGAGUCAUAUUGUCUUAUUGCAUUAAGAACUCUUGCCUAUAUUGUUUAUUUCCAGUACUUUGACCAUAAGUAUAUAGGCAAUCCAUUUCAUGAAUUUAAGAGCCCAUGUUCUUCCUGGUUCUUUUUUUUUUUUUUAGAAAUGAAUUAAUAGGACAUAUUAUAACUAUAAUCUCCAUUUCUGCUCCAAUCACAGACUGUUAACUGAAUCCUUUGGUCAAUUUUGCAGGCAGCCUGCUAUCUUUCCCCCCAUGGAAGACUCUAAUGAGGAGCAACCCAUUUUGUGCCUGCAUUUGCCACAGAGAAAAUGCACCCUGUGGUCUCAGAAACCAAAUAUUAUACAUCAACACAAUUUCCAUUGUCAGGGGUUUACAUGUAUUAUCCUUUCACCUGUUUCCUUCGUACUAUAGACUAUAGAAGGAUGGAUAAGAAUGCCCGGGGAACAUUUCACAAACCUUUAAUCUAGUUGUAAUGCAGCACACUAUUUUAAUAUUUGCUACUCACAAUAACAAUAGUAAUACAAAAACAUACUAUCUUCUGCUAGGGAUAAUGGGAGUAGUAGUUCAGUGAAUCUGAAAGAUGGCAGCUUGAUCUAGUACUACAAUAUAGUAUCUAAUUUUGAGCUUGAAUUUCUUCAUCAGGAACAAGGAGCAGUGCUGCAGCUGGUGGUAAUAUUUUUAAAAAGGGAGGAAGGCAAGGUCCCUUGGGUAUUUGGUUUCCAAAAAUUGUGGGGGCCCUAAUUGGUAAUGUCAUGGCAUUACCGGGGAACAAAGACAACAUUUUCAGCCUAAUGUAGGGAGUACGAGUUGGAAGGAUUUUGAAAUAACAUGGAUGCCUUUAUCAUUAUCAAGUCAUCAGAUUUCAAAGAGAAAAUGUUGCUGCCAUUUUUUUGUGCGUGCAGAUUUGAAAAGACUAUAACAAUGCUUUACCCUCUGCAUGGACUUAAGCAAUUUGCCUUUAACAGCCCCCCUUCCCCAAACAAUAGUGUCCCAAAAUUUUAAUGUUAAAGAAUUUUUAAAAAACCUGGCCUCACAUUUACCACCAAAGACAUGCAAUUCUAUCAGUAAGAUACACAUAGUAAACCCAAUGAUGAUGAUGAUUUUAAAGUUGAAGUGUCAACGUAUCAAUUUAAAAAAAAUGAGAAUGUUCCCACCUUUAUUUUAUUUUUAUUUUUUUUACAUAUCUUUGCUUCCUAUAAAAACAACAGUAUUUUUUGCAAGGCUAUUUUUGACAGAUGCCAUUAGAUAAAGGGAAGUAUCUCUUGUUCUUCCCCAGCAGCUGUUGCACCUGAAGAAGUAAUUAGAAAGAGAGGCCAGAACACUAAUUUGCUACAUGCAAGCCUUCCAAAUGAGAAGGUAUCACCAUCACAAAGGGAAAGAACAGAAUUCUUAAUCCAAGCAAAGGGGAACUGUCCAAAAUUUUUCACUCCAUUUGCUGGCAGCUCAAGGGUGACCUUUGACCUGUUCCCACCAGCCUUUUAAAAGGAGAAACAAAUUUCAGAUGAGGAAAAGAGAACAUUGUCAGUGGACAAAAUGUUGAGCAUGUUCUUACAAAAGUGAUAAUUAUUCCAGUGCUCAAGCUUUACAUUUCUCUCAGUAGCUUUAAAGAAAAGAACAAAAUUAAUUUGUUGUUUAAUUUGCCAUUUCAUUUCUCAGUGUAUUUGGGCUUGAAAAAAAGGGAUGAAAUGGGAAAGGAAAGUACCCAAGGGUCUAAAGAAAUGAUGCGCCAAGCAGAAUAUCUGAAUUUAUCAUUAAUAUCUACAGUUGAUAAUAUGAACGUUAAGAUGCCUUUUUAGUCCCAAUUGAUAAGACUGGAAUUUUUUUUAAUUGGUACUGACUGCAAAUAUUUCACAUUUGUAGAGAAUUGUUUGAAAUAGUGCAAAGUCUCCAUGCAUAGACAAUUUAGAUUUUUACAGACACAGAAGGUGUGUAACCCACAUACUCUGAAAAGUCCAGAGAUCCUCUCCAAAGGUCUUCACUUGCAGCUUUGACCAAACACUUAGAAGACAAAAUCCCAAGGUAUCGCUGUAUAUAUAUGUGAGCCAAGUAACCUAGGUUAUUGGGCCUUGAUUGAGCAGAAAAAGGCCAUUCAAAUUAGAGUUAUUUUUUUUUUUUACAUUCUUCUCCUAUAUGCAGUACACCAAGUGAGCCUGGACUGACAGGAACUAUGGGAAGGUUCUCAUGAUUCCUAAACACUGUGGGAACAUCCUGGUUGUAGGGCAGUAUUCAGGGUUGUGGGAAUCCUACAGAGAAUACAGCAUUAUUAGACACCUCUCCUUCUUCUUCAAGGGCUGAAAAAAACUGGUAUAGACAAUCUCAUCAAAUAUUUAAACACUCUCCACCCCCACCCCCGCAUGCACACACAUACAUUUUUCUCAUAGUUUGUAAUCAAGUUUGUUAAAAUACGUAAUAUUAAUUAUGAUUUGAAGAUAUGGAUUGUCUCCAUAUUCUUAAUUUGUUUUUAUCUCAUUAGUACAAUGACUUGUCUGUAGCUGUAAUAUUAUUGUCUUGCACUACACCUCAUGAAUUGCCACUAUACCAAAAAAUAAGCAUGGCUGUUUCUUUGAAAGUAUCUACAAACAAGUUUCAGCAAUCUAAGAGGCAAUACUGCUUACUUUAUGAGUAAUAUUGUAAUGCUAAUAGUUAAGUAACAAAUUAUUUCUAUUGUAAAUUAGACUAGAGCCAGUGAAAUCUGUUGUGUACUCCAUUCGUGUGCAAAUGAUGAAAACACAUGGCGAUGCUGAACAAACACUUUAUUCACCUUCUACAACAACCAAGCAAAAGCAAAAGGCAUGCAGGCCUUUUUAUAUGGCCAGAAACCCGGACAAUGUCA
Crotalus tigris (Tiger rattlesnake) is the source of this 5529-nucleotide long non-coding RNA. RefSeq lists it as uncharacterized. The transcript has 3 exons. Lineage: Eukaryota; Metazoa; Chordata; Lepidosauria; Squamata; Viperidae. The record is from RefSeq and is a predicted model, not a curated record.